UACGAAGGGGGGCUAGCGUUGUUCGGAUUUACUGGGCGUAAAGCGCACGUAGGCGGAUUUUUAAGUCAGGGGUGAAAUCCCGGGGCUCAACCCCGGAACUGCCUUUGAUACUGGAAGUCUUGAGUAUGGUAGAGGUGAGUGGAAUUCCGAGUGUAGAGGUGAAAUUCGUAGAUAUUCGGAGGAACACCAGUGGCGAAGGCGGCUCACUGGCUCGGUACUGACGCUGAGGUGCGAAAGCGUGGGGAGCAAACAGG
RNAcentral lists this ribosomal RNA (254 nucleotides) under uncultured bacterium. RNAcentral's name for it is "partial 16S ribosomal RNA". It matches the Rfam family "Bacterial small subunit ribosomal RNA", at positions 524 to 776 of the family's 1533-position model. The record is from RNAcentral.